AGCCGCGGUAAUUCCAGCUCCAAUAGCGUAUACUAAAGUUGUUGCGGUUAAAAAGCUCGUAGUUGGAUCUUGGAAUGUGUUCAAGCGGGUCAGCUUCUGGCUGUGCGCUGCUUGACGUGUUCUUCUAUUUGGUUUUGGUGCGGUGCGCUUAACUGCGUGUCGCUCCCGGCCGAAACGUUUACCUUGAAAAAAUUAGAGUGUUCAAAGCAGACCUGUUUGAGUCUGAAUAUUCGUGCAUGGAAUAAUGAAAUAUGAAUUCGGUUCUAUUUUGUUGGUUUUCGGAACUCGAGUUAAUGAUCAAGAGGGACAGACGGGGGCAUUCGUACUCUGCCGUUAGAGGUGAAAUUCUUGGAUCGGCGGAAGACGCGCAACUGCGAAAGCAUUUGCCAAGAAUGUUUUCUUUAAUCAAGAACGAUAGUCGGAGGUUCGAAGACGAUCAGAUACCGUCCUAGUUUCGACUGUAAACUAUGCCAGCUAACGAUCAGACAGAGUUCUCUACGACUUGUCUGGCAGUUUCCGGGAAACCAAAGCGUUUGGGUUCCGGGGGAAGUAUGGUUGCAAAGCUGAAACUUAAAGGAAUUGACGGAAGGGCACCACCAGGAGUGGAGCCUGCGGCUUAAUUUGACUCAACACGGGGAAACUCACCCGGCCCGGACACAGUGAGGAUUGACAGAUUGAGAGUUCUUUCUUGAUUCUGUGGGUGGUGGUGCAUGGCCGUUCUUAGUUGGUGGAGCGAUUUGUCUGGUUAAUUCCGAUAACGAACGAGACUCUGGCAUGUUAAAUAGUCGCGGAAGUGCGUAUGCACUUGCCGAAUUGACUUCUUAGAGGGACUAGUGAUUUUAAUUCACACGAGAUUGAGCAAUAACAGGUCUGUGAUGCCCAA
RNAcentral lists this ribosomal RNA (883 nucleotides) under uncultured eukaryote. RNAcentral describes it as "SSU rRNA". It matches the Rfam family "Eukaryotic small subunit ribosomal RNA", at positions 572 to 1474 of the family's 1831-position model. The record is from RNAcentral.